CUAAGAAUAUUCCGCAAUGGACGGAAGUCUGACGGAGCGACACCGCGUGGAUGAAGAAGGCCGAAAGGUUGUAAAGUUCUUUUGCUAGGGGAGAAUAAGUGUGGGAGGGAAUGCAUGCACGAUGACAAGGACUAGCGAAUAAGUCCCGGCCAACUACGUGCCAGCAGCCGCGGUAACACGUAGGGGGCGAGCGUUGUUCGGAAUUACUGGGCGUAAAGGGCAUGUAGGCGGCUUGGUAAGCCUGGCGGGAAAGUCUGCAGCUUAACUGUAGGGAUGCGUUGGGAACUGCUGAGCGUG
RNAcentral lists this ribosomal RNA (297 nucleotides) under uncultured prokaryote. RNAcentral describes it as "partial 16S ribosomal RNA". It matches the Rfam family "Bacterial small subunit ribosomal RNA", at positions 355 to 644 of the family's 1533-position model. The record is from RNAcentral.